UACGGAGGGUGCAAGCGUUGUCCGGAUUUAUUGGGUUUAAAGGGCUCGUAGGCGGCCAACUAAGUCGGAUGUGAAAUCCCCAGGCUCAACCUGGGAACUGCAUCCGAUACUGGAUGGCUUGAAUUCGGGAGAGGGAUGCAGAAUUCCAGGUGUAGCGGUGAAAUGCGUAGAUAUUCGGAAGAACACCAGUGGCGAAGGCGGCUCACUGGUCCGGUACUGACGCUGAGGUGCGAAAGCGUGGGGAGCAAACAGG
This 253-nucleotide ribosomal RNA is filed under the name uncultured bacterium. Its description in RNAcentral is "partial 16S ribosomal RNA". It matches the Rfam family "Bacterial small subunit ribosomal RNA", at positions 524 to 776 of the family's 1533-position model. The record is from RNAcentral.